CCCUUAGAUGUUCUGGGCUGCACGCGUGCUACACUGAUAUUGCCAAUAUGUCAUUCUUAUCCGAAAUGGAUUGGGUAAUCAAGUAAUGAAAUUUCAUGCUUGGAAUCGGUAAUUGCAAUUUUAUCGUGAACGAGGAAUUCCUAGUAAGCGCGAGUCAUCAGCUCGUGCUGAUUACGUCCCUGCCCUUUGUACACACCGCCCGUCGCUCCUACCGAUUGAGUGAUUCGGUGAAUAAUUCGGACUGCAGCAUUGCUUGGAUUCCGAGCUUUGCAGCGGAAAGUUUAGUGAACCUCAUCACUUAGAGGAAGGAGAAGUCGUAACA
This 322-nucleotide ribosomal RNA is filed under the name uncultured eukaryote. Its description in RNAcentral is "partial 18S ribosomal RNA". It matches the Rfam family "Eukaryotic small subunit ribosomal RNA", at positions 1470 to 1796 of the family's 1831-position model. The record is from RNAcentral.